Molecule: ribosomal RNA, 446 nt
Filed under: uncultured bacterium
Lineage: Bacteria
Description: bacterial SSU rRNA
Rfam family: Bacterial small subunit ribosomal RNA
Source: RNAcentral
ACCAGACUCCUACGGGAGGCAGCAGUGGGGAAUAUUGCACAAUGGGGGAAACCCUGAUGCAGCAACGCCGCGUGAGUGAGGAAGUAUUUCGGUAUGUAAAGCUCUAUCAGCAGGGAAUAGAAAAGAAGGUACCUGAAAAAGAAGCCCCGGCUAACUACGUGCCAGCAGCCGCGGUAAUACGUAGGGGGCGAGCGUUAUCCGGAUUCACUGGGCGUAAAGGGAGCGCAGGCGGCACGGCAAGUCCGGUGUGAAAGCCCGGGGCCCAACCCCGGGACUGCACUGGAAACUGCCGGGCUGGAGUGUCGGAGGGGCAGGCGGAAUUCCUAGUGUAGCGGUGAAAUGCGUAGAUAUUAGGAGGAACACCGGUGGCGAAGGCGGCCUGCUGGACGACGACUGACGCUGAGGCUCGAAAGCGUGGGGAGCAAACAGGAUUAGAUACCCGAGUA